Molecule: ribosomal RNA, 325 nt
Filed under: uncultured Campylobacter sp.
Lineage: Bacteria; Pseudomonadati; Campylobacterota; Epsilonproteobacteria; Campylobacterales; Campylobacteraceae
Description: bacterial SSU rRNA
Rfam family: Bacterial small subunit ribosomal RNA
Source: RNAcentral
UAGGGAAUAUUGCUCAAUGGGGCGAAAGCCUGAAGCAGCAACGCCGCGUGGAGGAUGACACUUUUCGGAGCGUAAACUCCUUUUCUUAGGGAAGAACAAUGACGGUACCUAAGGAAUAAGCACCGGCUAACUCCGUGCCAGCAGCCGCGGUAAUACGGAGGGUGCAAGCGUUACUCGGAAUCACUGGGCGUAAAGGACGCGUAGGCGGAUUAUCAAGUCUUUUGUGAAAUCUAAUGGCUUAACCAUUAAACUGCUUGAGAAACUGAUAAUCUAGAGUGAGGGAGAGGCAGAUGGAAUUGGUGGUGUAGGGGUAAAAUCCGUAGAG